ACGGGAGGUAGCAGUGGGGAAUAUUGGGCAAUGGGCGAAAGCCUGACCCAGCAACGCCGCGUGAGGGAAGAAGGUUUUCGGAUUGUAAACUUCUUUUAUCAGGGACGAAGAACGUGACGGUACCUGAUGAAUAAGCCACGGCUAACUACGUGCCAGCAGCCGCGGUAAUACGUAGGUGGCAAGCGUUAUCCGGAUUUACUGGGUGUAAAGGGCGCGUAGGCGGGGAUGCAAGUCAGAUGUGAAAUCCAUGGGCUUAACCCAUGAACUGCAUUUGAAACUGUAUUUCUUGAGUGUCGGAGAGGUAAGCGGAAUUCCUAGUGUAGCGGUGAAAUGCGUAGAUAUUAGGAGGAACACCAGUGGCGAAGGCGGCUUACUGGACGGUAACUGACGUUGAGGCUCGAAAGCGUGGGGAGCAAACAGGAUUAGAUACCCUGGUA
RNAcentral lists this ribosomal RNA (437 nucleotides) under uncultured Oscillospiraceae bacterium. RNAcentral describes it as "partial 16S ribosomal RNA". It matches the Rfam family "Bacterial small subunit ribosomal RNA", at positions 341 to 792 of the family's 1533-position model. Lineage: Bacteria; Bacillati; Bacillota; Clostridia; Eubacteriales; Oscillospiraceae. The record is from RNAcentral.